RNAcentral lists this non-coding RNA (208 nucleotides) under Novosphingobium sp. Leaf2. Lineage: Bacteria; Pseudomonadati; Pseudomonadota; Alphaproteobacteria; Sphingomonadales; Sphingomonadaceae. The record is from RNAcentral. RNAcentral also lists the same sequence under 1 other name.
CGGCGCGGGCACGUCAUGGGUUGUCCGGUUCGCCGGACCUAAGAGGGAAGUCGGCUGCAAUUGCCGGCGCUGCCCCCGCAACUGUGACCGGGGAGGCCCUUUCCACCAAGCCACUGGCUGCGUCUUUUUGCAAAAGGCAGGCCGGGAAGGCGGAAAAACAGGCCGUUGAUCCGGGAGCCAGGAGACCUGCCCAGGACGGUCGUUCCGC